Molecule: long non-coding RNA, 519 nt
Filed under: Rattus norvegicus (Norway rat)
Lineage: Eukaryota; Metazoa; Chordata; Mammalia; Rodentia; Muridae
Description: long non-coding RNA NONRATT030142
Source: RNAcentral
ACUGCCGCAGAAGAGAAAAGAAAAUCCCAUCUAGCUCAGCCCAUCACCUCAAUGCUAUUGGCCACCUGUUCCGUCUUCCUUUUCCUAUACAAGCCUUGGGGCCUAUAGGUUCCCUAUACGAACCUUUGAAGAGUGGCACCUCCCCACCACCUUCUUCGUUUGCUGCUUUUCCAGAUGAAAGCUUUUCCCUUCUCCAGCAAUCUGUCCCAUUCACUGGAUUUGGGGGUGGACAAAUGAAAGAACUCAGUGGGCCAGGCUGGUGGCCCGGGCCUGCGCUAUCAGCUACUCUGGAGGUUAAAGCAGGAGAAUUGCAAGUUCAGUGCUUGACUGAGCUACAGAGUGCAGUCAAGGGCACCCUGGGCAACUAAGGAAGUCCUUUCUCAAGGGUGUAACGUGGUCAUUGCUUCCCGGAAACUGGACAGAUUAACCGCUGCUGUGGAUGAACUGAGAGCCUCUCAGCCUCCCUCCAGCAGCACUCAAGUCACCGCCAUACAGUGCAAUAUCAGGAAAGAAGAAGAG